GAUGAACGCUGGCGGCGUGCCUAAUACAUGCAAGUCGAGCGAACAGACGAGGAGCUUGCUCCUUUGACGUUAGCGGCGGACGGGUGGGUAACACGUGGGUAACCUACCUAUAAGACUGGGAUAACUUCGGGAAACCGGAGCUAAUACCGGAUAAUAUUUCGAACCGCAUGGUUCGAUAGUGAAAGAUGGCUCUGCUAUCACUUAUAGAUGGACCUGCGCCGUAUUAGCUAGUUGGUAAGGUAACGGCUUACCAAGGCAACGAUACGUAGCCGACCUGAGAGGGUGAUCGGCCACACUGGAACUGAGACACGGUCCAGACUCCUACGGGAGGCAGCAGUAGGGAAUCUUCCGCAAUGGGCGAAAGCCUGACGGAGCAACGCCGCGUGAGUGAUGAAGGUCUUCGGAUCGUAAAACUCUGUUAUUAGGGAAGAACAAACGUGUAAGUAACUGUGCACGUCUUGACGGUACCUAAUCAGAAAGCCACGGCUAACUACGUG
This 497-nucleotide ribosomal RNA is filed under the name uncultured bacterium. RNAcentral's name for it is "partial 16S ribosomal RNA". It matches the Rfam family "Bacterial small subunit ribosomal RNA", at positions 28 to 507 of the family's 1533-position model. The record is from RNAcentral.